Molecule: ribosomal RNA, 301 nt
Filed under: uncultured bacterium
Lineage: Bacteria
Description: partial 16S ribosomal RNA
Rfam family: Bacterial small subunit ribosomal RNA
Source: RNAcentral
CAGCACCGCGGUAAUACGAAGGGGGCUAGCGUUGCUCGGAAUGACUGGGCGUAAAGGGCGCGUAGGCGGUUCGUACAGUUGGAUGUGAAAUUCCUGGGCUUAACCUGGGGGCUGCAUUCAAUACGUGCGGGCUUGAGUGUGGAAGAGGGUUGUGGAAUUCCCAGUGUAGAGGUGAAAUUCGUAGAUAUUGGGAAGAACACCGGUGGCGAAGGCGGCAACCUGGUCCAUAACUGACGCUGAGGCGCGAAAGCGUGGGGAGCAAACAGGAUUAGAUACCCCGGUAGUCCCUGUCUCUUAUACA